RNAcentral lists this ribosomal RNA (393 nucleotides) under uncultured bacterium. RNAcentral describes it as "bacterial SSU rRNA". It matches the Rfam family "Bacterial small subunit ribosomal RNA", at positions 28 to 424 of the family's 1533-position model. The record is from RNAcentral.
GACGAACGCUGGCGGCGUGCUUAACACAUGCAAGUCGAGCGGUAAGGCCCUUUCGGGGGUACACGAGCGGCGAACGGGUGAGUAACACGUGGGUGACCUGCCCUCAGCUCUGGGAUAAGCCUGGGAAACCGGGUCUAAUACCGGAUAUGACUCCAUGACGCAUGUUGUGGGGUGGAAAGCCUUGUGCGGCUGAGGAUGGGCCCGCGGCCUAUCAGCUUGUUGGUGGGGUGANGGCCUACCAAGGCGACGACGGGUAGCCGGCCUGAGAGGGCGACCGGCCACACUGGGACUGAGACACGGCCCAGACUCCUACGGGAGGCAGCAGUGGGGGAAUCUUGCGCAAUGGGCGAAAGCCUGACGCAGCGACGCCGCGUGAGGGAUGACGGCCUGGUU